This 92-nucleotide transfer RNA is filed under the name Aeromonas phage PX29. RNAcentral's name for it is "tRNA-Ser". The record is from RNAcentral. Lineage: Duplodnaviria; Heunggongvirae; Uroviricota; Caudoviricetes; Pantevenvirales; Straboviridae.
GGAAGCGUGGCAGAGUCCGGCUUAUUGCAACACUCUUGAAAAGUGUCGGCGGUUAACCCCGUCCAUCCGUUCGAAUCGGAUCGCUUCCGCCA